AACGAACGCUGGCGGCAUGCCUAACACAUGCAAGUCGAACGAGACCUUCGGGUCUAGUGGCGCCCGGGUGCGUAACGAGUGGGAACCUCCCCUUAGGCUCGGCAUAACUACCCGAAAGGGGUUCUACUAACGGAUAAUGUCUUCGGACCAAAGAUUUAUCGUCUUUGGAUGGGCCCGCGUUGGAUUAGCUAGUUGGUUGGGUAAAGGCCUACCAAGGCGACGAUCAGUAGCUGGUCUGAGAGGAUGAUCAGCCACACUGGGACUGAGACACGGCCCAGACUCCUACGGGAGGCAGCAGUGGGGAAUAUUGGACAAUGGGGGAAAGCCUGAUCCAGCAAUGCCGCGUGAGUGAUGAAGGCCUUAGGGUUGUAAAGCUCUUUUACCCGGGAUGAUAAUGACAGUACCGGGAGAAUAAGCCCCGGCUAACUCCGUG
RNAcentral lists this ribosomal RNA (433 nucleotides) under uncultured bacterium. Its description in RNAcentral is "partial 16S ribosomal RNA". It matches the Rfam family "Bacterial small subunit ribosomal RNA", at positions 29 to 507 of the family's 1533-position model. The record is from RNAcentral.